Molecule: ribosomal RNA, 784 nt
Filed under: uncultured Cyclobacterium sp.
Lineage: Bacteria; Pseudomonadati; Bacteroidota; Cytophagia; Cytophagales; Cyclobacteriaceae
Description: bacterial SSU rRNA
Rfam family: Bacterial small subunit ribosomal RNA
Source: RNAcentral
GAAUUCGCCCUUAGAGUUUGAUCCUGGCUCAGGAUGAACGCUAGCGGCAGGCCUAAUACAUGCAAGUCGAACGGGAUUUAUUCUUUCGGGGAUAAUGAGAGUGGCGCACGGGUGCGUAACGCGUAUGCAACCUACCUUAUACAGGGGGAUAGCCCGGGGAAACCCGGAUUAAUACCCCAUGGUAUAUACCUAAUGCAUGUUAGGUAUAUUAAAGAUUUAUCGGUAUAAGACGGGCAUGCGUAGGAUUAGCUAGUUGGUAAGGUAACGGCUUACCAAGGCGACGAUCCUUAGGGGUUCUGAGAGGAAGGUCCCCCACACUGGCACUGAGAUACGGGCCAGACUCCUACGGGAGGCAGCAGUAGGGAAUAUUGGUCAAUGGGCGAGAGCCUGAACCAGCCAUGCCGCGUGCAGGAAGACGGCCUAUUGGGUUGUAAACUGCUUUUGUACGGGAAGAAAACGCCCCUGCGGGGGAGAUUGCCGGUACCGUACGAAUAAGCACCGGCUAACUCCGUGCCAGCAGCCGCGGUAAUACGGAGGGUGCAAGCGUUGUCCGGAUUUAUUGGGUUUAAAGGGUGCGUAGGCGGCCGAUUAAGUCGGCGGUGAAAGUUUCCGGCUCAACCGGGAGACUGCCGUUGAUACUGGUUGGCUUGAGUAAUGGAGGGGUACAUGGAAUUUAUGGUGUAGCGGUGAAAUGCAUAGAUACCAUAAGGAACACCGAUAGCGAAGGCAUUGUACAGGCCAUUUACUGACGCUGAUGCACCAAAGCAUUGGUAGCCGACUUGGA